GCAUUGCUGACGAGUCCAACAAUAGAACGAAACGACUGUACAAUGC
RNAcentral lists this non-coding RNA (46 nucleotides) under Schistosoma mansoni. The record is from RNAcentral. Lineage: Eukaryota; Metazoa; Platyhelminthes; Trematoda; Strigeidida; Schistosomatidae.